RNAcentral lists this ribosomal RNA (432 nucleotides) under Triticum aestivum (bread wheat). Its description in RNAcentral is "partial small subunit ribosomal RNA". The record is from RNAcentral. Lineage: Eukaryota; Viridiplantae; Streptophyta; Magnoliopsida; Poales; Poaceae.
AUGCUAUUUAAGAUCGCCAACCCCUCCUCUGCCGAUUUUUGGCAAAACCCCUCGCUCCCAUGCCCUAUCUCGCCCGUACCAGAAGAUCGGAUCUCGUCGGAGUUGCGUGCCCGACAGAAGCUUUCGCCGUCGUUUCGGUCGUCUCUGAAGGAACCCCUGGAACGACUCAAUAGAGCUCGAUCAGGAGCCCUCGCCGUCGCUGCGACUUCAGCCGCACGUCAUCACCACCAGAGGACGGGACCGUCGCAGAAGAGAACGAAUUCAACGUCUACAGGAAUGUCCGCCUCCAGUAGAGUCCUUCUUGAGCUCGGGGGACCACCGCAAACGUCUCCACCGUCGAGGUCCGAGCCGCCGAGGUCUUCUUCUCCAAGUCCGGCGAUGCCUUUCCCUUUGUUCCGCGAUUGUCCCGAGUGCGAAGCAGAUCAUGACUAA